GUGAAUCAUCAAAUCUUUGAACGCAAAUUGCACUCUCUUCGGAGAGUAUGCCUGUUUGAGGGUCAGUAUAAAUAAAAAUCGGUGUGUUGCUUCUUUGUGACGCUCCGGGGUUUGGGUCAUCUUAAUAUCCUUUAGGUUUUAAGAGGCUUAAAAUUGACUUUUUUUGCGCAUUUUAGCGGUACAUAAAUUCUUUUUUUUAUUCGUCUGUCUUAUUGCUCUAAAUUCUAUUUGAUGCGCAUAUCUCGUGUGGUU
RNAcentral lists this unclassified non-coding RNA (252 nucleotides) under Rhizophagus sp. (in: glomeromycetes). RNAcentral's name for it is "partial contains 5.8S ribosomal RNA and internal transcribed spacer 2". The stretch from base 1 to 65 matches the Rfam family "5.8S ribosomal RNA", at positions 84 to 154 of the family's 154-position model. The record is from RNAcentral. Lineage: Eukaryota; Fungi; Glomeromycota; Glomeromycetes; Glomerales; Glomeraceae.